Long non-coding RNA from Elaeis guineensis (African oil palm), 715 nucleotides. RefSeq lists it as uncharacterized. The record is from RefSeq and is a predicted model, not a curated record. Lineage: Eukaryota; Viridiplantae; Streptophyta; Magnoliopsida; Arecales; Arecaceae.
GUAAUGGAUGUUAAGUGCACCAAAUGGACUCAUUUAGUAAUUUUAUGCGUGCACCUUUGCAAAAGAGUCAUGCAUUUGGGGUGAUCAGCUGCUAUAAAACAGUCCUCAGAACCCAUCUCUUGCGUGGAGGACGUUUGUCUGUGGUUUCUGGAAGAGGUCAAUGGAGCCAAAGGAUAUGAGGGCCACCCAAGUCCUAAUGUCUGUUCUCCUGUUAUUAAUUAUUCAGAGCUCCGCUUUGUCUUUCAAGGAUUGCUACAAUCAGUGCUACCAUGGCUGCAGGGAGUUAGGAAAGUCCAAGGCUUCUUGUAGGGUUGGUUGUUUUGUAGAAUGUCUGCCGCCCACCCCAUCUGAGAUUGAUCUCCAGUGCAGCCUUCCAUGUACCCUGUCCGCUUGCCGCCAUCUCGACCCCGAGGGGAAGGACAUGGAAGAUUGCAUGCAUACCUGCUUCAACACGUGCACCGAGCCAGCCAUGGCUCCUUCAGCAUAAAUUUGUCAAAGAAAAGGAAGAAAAAAAACCUGGAGUGUAAUAGACUGAAUAAGAAGGGAUGAAAUCAUUAAAUAAGCCUUGCCUAUGCGAGUGCAGCAUAUAAACAGAGGCCAGCAUCCAGGAAAAAAUACGGAUGAAUAGUAGUAAACAUUAGCUCCCUCGCGAUAAAGUGUAGACCAGAUUCAUGGAGAUUAAAUUUCAGGAUAUUAAUACUAGUUCUCUUUGUGA